Molecule: non-coding RNA, 1669 nt
Organism: Camelina sativa (false flax)
Lineage: Eukaryota; Viridiplantae; Streptophyta; Magnoliopsida; Brassicales; Brassicaceae
Source: RefSeq, a predicted model, not a curated record
GGUUGGGAGUGCACUUUCGGAUCCAUAUCUUCCAUCUGCAGCUGCAUUAAAUGGUUUAGCUGGGCCACUCCAUGGUUAGGCUAAUCAGGAAGUUCUGCUGCUGUGGAUCAGAUCAGUUGUCACAACUGCCAAAAAAUGUGUUUUGAAAGCAAGUUUGUUAUCUGAUCAUCGCUCCUCCGGCCUCUGAAUUCAUACAUGUGGAAUUCUUCAUCUAGGGUUUGGUUGUUUAACAUAUGCUUGGAGAAGGUCCUGAGGCAACUCACCCCUGCAAAUUGCAAAUUUCAUAUCGUACUAGCUGGAGCUCUAAAGGUUAUCAAAUUAGUCGUUGGAGAUAAGAGUCUCAACAGGAGUUACCCCCAAUAACCUCUUUGAGUAUGUAGUGUUGCAUGCUUCUCUCCAUGAUCCUGAUCAACACAGAAAUUCUGUUAAUCUCUUGCUAUCUUUGCAGGUGAGUUUAUAUCUAGCUAUAUAUGAGACCAAUGUUGCAUAUGAGACCAAUGUUGUUACCCCCAAUAACUUCUUUGAGUCUGUAGUGUUGCAUAUGAGUGGAUUGAAUUGCUCAAUCCCACAGAAUUAUUUUGCUAAUCUUGUGGCUGAGCGUGAGUUUGUGGAAUGUACCUCCUCUGUUCCCGCAAGCUCUGGUUCUGUUCAAGCAACUCUAUCCGGACCAUACGACAAAAGAGAUGGAGAUUUCCCACAACAGGAAACUGUAGGAGUGUUCAUGGAAAAACUGCUUGAGUACUCACAGAUGUGUGUGGGCACUUGUUGCUGAGUACCGAAGAGCUGCGUUCGUUACUCAUCCGGGAAAUAUCCACUAGACAGUUAUAAAAUUGCAAACCCUUUUUCAAAAAAAAACAAAAAAAAACUGAAUUUUCAAACGGCAACGUUUCAGCAAAAUCGCAAUGUGGUGGAGUAAUAAGCCUAGCCCUGCCCAGCCCAUAUAUUGCAACGUUGUCCGUGUUGUGUUUUGUUAAGUUUGUCAGACGCGCCUCGAUUACCUCAUUUUCUCAAAAUAUUUAAAAUUCGUCGAUUUUUGUAGUCUAUAACCUUGCCGAAUUGAUGAAACGCGCGCUACGCGCUCUUCAUGCGCGUGGGCAUUGUUUUCAAUUAUUUGCCUGUUGUGUGACACGCGCGUUAAGUGGGCUAGACCAUGGUCAACCUUUGUCAACUAAACGAUACCGUUUAGAAAAUUGUAAUCUAUUCUGUAGAAUAAUCAGGCCUGGCCCAUAUAGUACCACAUCAUGUAAUAAAUAUACAAGCCCGACAAGGUACAAAUGUUAUAGACCGAGACUCAAUUGACUUGGCCUAUAUGAUAAAGACUACUGAUUCGAUUUUACAGUAUUCCGUCAAACAUUAUACAAACCAAAUUCGAAAACAAAACAAAACUGUCAACAACCAAUCUUCAAGUUAAAAUGAUUGACCUAAGCCUAAUGUAAAAUGUUUAACGAACAAUCUAUGAUUACUAAACAAAGGAAUCUCAAUCUUCUUUAGGACUUGAUACGACAUCAACGAGAUACUGAUUCAACUUCUGUCCAAACGUCUUCACAGAGAAUGAUUCGACGACAUGAUUCCUGGCCUCAGCUCCCAUUCUCUUCGCCAAUUCAGGAUCUUCGAUGAAUCUAGCCAUUGCCGAACUGAAAUCUUCUGGAGUCGAUUCACAAAGAUAGCC